CCAAUAGCGUAUAUUAAAGUUGUUGCAGUUAAAAAGCUCGUAGUUGAAUUUCGGGGUUAGUAGGUUGGUCAUGCCAAUGGUAUGCACUGGCUUUACUGAUUCCUCCUUCUUGAAGAACUGUAAUGCCAUUAAUUUGGUGUUGCAGGGAAUCAGGACUGUUACUUUGAAAAAAUUAGAGUGUUUAAAGCAGGCUUACGCUUGAAUACAUUAGCAUGGAAUAAUGAAAUAGGACGUUGAUCCUAUUUUGUUGGUUUCUAGGAUUGACGUAAUGAUUAAUAGGGAUAGUUGGGGGCAUUAGUAUUCAAUUGUCAGAGGUGAAAUUCUUGGAUUUAUUGAAGACUAACUACUGCGAAAGCAUUUGCCAAGGAUGUUUUCAUUAAUCAAGAACGAAAGUUAGGGGAUCGAAGACGAUCAGAUACCGUCGUAGUCUUAACCAUAAACUAUGCCGACUAGGGAUCGGAUGAUGUUAAUUUUUUAAUGACUCAUUCGGCGCCUUACG
Molecule: ribosomal RNA, 499 nt
Filed under: uncultured Glomeromycotina
Lineage: Eukaryota; Fungi; Glomeromycota
Description: partial small subunit ribosomal RNA
Rfam family: Eukaryotic small subunit ribosomal RNA
Source: RNAcentral